Molecule: ribosomal RNA, 292 nt
Filed under: uncultured bacterium
Lineage: Bacteria
Description: partial 16S ribosomal RNA
Rfam family: Bacterial small subunit ribosomal RNA
Source: RNAcentral
GUGCCAGCAGCCGCGGUAAGACAGAGGGUGCAAACGUUGCUCGGAAUUACUGGGCGUAAAGCGCGUGUAGGCGGGCCGACAAGUCAGAUGUGAAAUCCCUGAGCUCAACUCAGGAACUGCAUUUGAAACUGUCGGCCUUGAGUGGUGGAGAGGGAAGCGGAAUUCCUGGUGUAGAGGUGAAAUUCGUAGAUAUCAGGAGGAACACCGGUGGCGAAGGCGACUUCCUGGACACCAACUGACGCUGAGACGCGAAAGCGUGGGGAGCAAACAGGAUUAGAUACCCUCGUAGUCC